Molecule: long non-coding RNA, 788 nt
Organism: Asparagus officinalis (garden asparagus)
Lineage: Eukaryota; Viridiplantae; Streptophyta; Magnoliopsida; Asparagales; Asparagaceae
Exons: 2
Source: RefSeq, a predicted model, not a curated record
CCUCCAUCCCUUGAAUCUACCCCUGACAUUUCCCCCGUUCUCCCUAACCCUUGAUAUUCAAUUCUCCCCAAAAUUUUCCACCGUUCUUCCCGAUAUUCCCCCUAAAAAUGUCCCCAGCCCUCGAAUCUUCCCGUCGAAACGUCCUUAGCACUUGAAUCUUCCCCGUCAAAACGUCCCCAGCCCUCGAAUCUUCCCCCUCGAAGUCCGAUCGCGGACGCCGACCAACGCGCCCCUAUUCCACCACCCUCAUCUUCGCCGGAACUCUUCUCUCUUUCGUCGCCCUCAUCUUCGCCGGCACUCUUGUCCAUCGGCACUCUCGUCGGGAAUCUAGCUCCUCCGCCUCAUCCUCCACCGCCUCUGGAUUCCACCGCAUCCUCCUCCACCGCCUCGUCCUCAGAGACAAUUUGUUUCGGUUUGAAGAGAAGGACGAUGAGUUGGAUAUAUCUCUGAUUGCUUUUGUCCAUAACGGAUGGAGAUGGUGAAGCUUAGACUUGUUAACCUUUGUUACGUUCUGCGUUUAGCAUUGUUGAUCCAUUUAGUUCAAUUAGUUCAAAAGAGAAGGAUAUGUGAUGCUUUGGAUGAAAUAAGGAUUAAAGUGGCAUUUGUUGCCAACUAGAAGAGAGAAUAAAGUGAAAUAAUGAAAUCAUUGUGUGGAGUAACUUUAUUCAAGUAAUUCCCAGAAAAAAUGUAGAAUCAGUAUUUUUCUUCAAGUACAUGUUACUCUUUCGUAUACUUUUUUCUCUUUCUUGUUGUGCCUUUCUGGUGAGUAUGUAUGUUUCCUUCAAGUA